AGUGAACGCUGGCGGUAGGCCUAACACAUGCAAGUCGAACGGCAGCACAGUAAGAGCUUGCUCUUACGGGUGGCGAGUGGCGGACGGGUGAGGAAUACAUCGGAAUCUACUUUUUCGUGGGUGAUAACGUAGGGAAACUUACGCUAAUACCGCAUACGACGUACGGGUGAAAGCAGCGGAUCUUCGGACCUUGCGCGAUUGAAUGAGCCGAGGUCGGAUUAGCUAGUUGGCGGGGUAAAGGCCCACCAAGGCGACGAUCCGUAGCUGGUCUGAGAGGAUGAUCAGCCACACUGGAACUGAGACACGGUCCAGACUCCUACGGGAGGCAGCAGUGGGGAAUAUUGGACAAUGGGCGCAAGCCUGAUCCAGCCAUACCGCGUGGGUGAAGAAGGCCUUCGGGUUGUAAAGCCCUUUUGUUGGGAAAGAAAAGCAGUAGGUUAAUACCCCGCUGUUCUGACGGUACCAAAAGAAUAAGCACCGGCUAACUUCGUG
This 492-nucleotide ribosomal RNA is filed under the name uncultured bacterium. RNAcentral's name for it is "partial 16S ribosomal RNA". It matches the Rfam family "Bacterial small subunit ribosomal RNA", at positions 29 to 507 of the family's 1533-position model. The record is from RNAcentral.